UUAAUUGAAGAGUUUGAUCAUGGCUCAGAUUGAACGCUGGCGGCAGGCCUAACACAUGCAAGUCGGGCGGUAACAGGGAGAAGCUUGCUUCUCUGCUGACGAGCGGCGGACGGGUGAGUAAUGUAUGGGGAUCUGCCUGAUGGCGGGGGAUAACUACUGGAAACGGUAGCUAAUACCGCAUAAUGUCUUCGGACCAAAGCGGGGGACCUCCGGGCCUCGCGCCAUCAGAUGAACCCAUAUGGGAUUAGCUAGUAGGUGAGGUAACGGCUUACCUAGGCGACGAUCCCUAGCUGGUCUGAGAGGAUGAUCAGCCACACUGGGACUGAGACACGG
RNAcentral lists this ribosomal RNA (333 nucleotides) under Salmonella enterica subsp. enterica serovar Typhimurium. RNAcentral's name for it is "bacterial SSU rRNA". It matches the Rfam family "Bacterial small subunit ribosomal RNA", at positions 1 to 329 of the family's 1533-position model. RNAcentral also lists the same sequence under 1 other name. Lineage: Bacteria; Pseudomonadati; Pseudomonadota; Gammaproteobacteria; Enterobacterales; Enterobacteriaceae. The record is from RNAcentral.